UUUGUUCACCACCACCACCAAAUCCACCGCCGGCUCAGCUCCUUGCUGCCUCCGCCGCCAGCUGCAACGGUCCCCCUCCUCACUCCCUCCGCCUUCGCCACUGGCUCGCUUGCCCUCUCCCGGCUAGGCUCCUCCCUCUCGCGGUGACGCGCCACAACGACAACGACGGUGCCGCCUAUGGGUAGGGGGAGGAGACGCGCGACGGCGGCAACGACAACUGCGGCGACGACGAUGACGCCGAUGCGACGAGGACGGCGCCUGUGUGAGGGCGGGGACGGAAGGAGGAGAGCUGCCGGCUGGAGGGGGAGGCCGGCGGCGGCGCCCGUGUGCGGCUUUUUGUUAUUCGUUGAAUGUGUUUUUGCAGGCGGGUAAAUCACCGCCUGUAAAGAGGAGAUGUCGCCUGCGUCGCAGGCGAUUGCAUCC
RNAcentral lists this small RNA (423 nucleotides) under Oryza sativa Japonica Group (Japanese rice). RNAcentral's name for it is "sRNA Os01g0310600". The record is from RNAcentral. Lineage: Eukaryota; Viridiplantae; Streptophyta; Magnoliopsida; Poales; Poaceae.